AGGAUCUCGUAUUCAGAAGACAACAGCUUUAGCGAGGAGGGCACUGUGACUGCAGGGAAGUGCUUUCAGCAUGGAUGGGUGAGGAGCAUGGGAUUAAGUAGGGACCUCUGUCCUAGUAUUAUUUUCUCUGUUGAAUUCAUCCUACCAGUUGCUGAGCUCUUUAUUUGCACACAUCAGCCUUUUAGGAAGGAUCUCCAGGAAUCCUGUGGGGAGAGGCUGGUGCUGGGGGAAGACAGAGGAAUGCCUGGAGAGGACAGAAGUGAGGAUAGGGCUUCUCCUAUUUUCUACACCUGUUGGUCUGGAUUGCAGCUGGAAUUGGAAGGGAAAUGCAUUUCCAUUGAAGGAAGAAGUGUAACAGUGAGCAGGCAGGUGUCAGCGGAUCUCAAGAGAAUAAUGUCAACUGGACAAUGGCUUAGAGGCAGGAGGAGGCAGAUCAGCUAGGCAGAUGUGCAGAAGUUAAGUGUGGUUUCAUGCAGAA
Molecule: long non-coding RNA, 478 nt
Filed under: Homo sapiens (human)
Lineage: Eukaryota; Metazoa; Chordata; Mammalia; Primates; Hominidae
Description: long non-coding RNA NONHSAT177427.1
Source: RNAcentral